AAUAAAUGCUGGUAUAUCUAGUGCAUUGUUGGCACCACGGGACCAGAAGGCAGUGACCCCCCUGGACCCAGCUUUCACUAUCUUGUGUGUGUCUGUUAUUUCUCAAUCUGCUGAUCUGCCUAACAACAGAGAGCCCCGUUGCAUUGCAGGCUGCUGGCCAGAUCCUGCAAUAUCUGGUGCCCAAUGUGGCCUUCUUUGUUCCUUGGCUCAGUGCACUCCAAGUGCCGUUUGUGAUGACUAGUCUUCAGUCUUGAAGGCUGUGAACAUUUGCAUUGCAUUGGACAUUUCUGUUCUUUGAAACUUAACUAAAAUUCUCAAAAGAAUCAUAAGGAAUCCAUUAUUAUUCACAUUAUCAUUGACAACUGUGAGAAUCUGCAGAAAAAAACAAUAUGGAACUACAACUUCACGUUCUUGAGAAAAGCUUGCAGUGUAAGAUGCGUUUGUUUGUGGUGCCUGAGGAAGAGAGGUUGGUGAAAUUGCACUUGGACUCAGUGAAUCGGAAAUAGUUUUAACUCUCCAGUGGAACACACUGUGAAGUUGUCAAGUCCCUUGAUUUCUCAACGAUACCAACUAGUUCAAUAAGCAAAGAGAGUAUGCUUGUGCCUACUUGUUGCCCAAUGAAAGAAUCAAAUAAUUUCACUGAUUCCAGCAGCAGAAAAAGAGAGUUGGUAGUGCUGAGCUGCUGAAGGUUCAUUACUGCUUAGCCUUGAGAAUGGAGGCCCCACUUGGUACUCUUCAUAAGAGAUGCCCCAACUCGUCAAAGGAAUUAUGGUAAUCUCCUUACUUUCUGUUGCACAUUCUUCCCUCUGCUAAUCUCAGUACACUCAUACUAACUUUCUUGUCUGUUAAGUGAUCUCACAUGUUUUGAAACCAAGUUCAGAUAAACUCACAAGUGGGUUAAGGGGCCAGAAUAGUUUAAAAGAAAUACAAUUACUUCAUUAUCUCACUUACAUGUGAACUUUAAAAUGUUGACCUUAUAAAAGUAGAGACCAGAAUAGUGGUUACCAGAGGCUGGGGGGUAGGGGCAUGGGAGGUGUUGAUCAAAGGUACAAAAUUUCAGUUAGGGAAGAGGAAUAAGAUUUUGAGAUCUACUGUACAGAAUGGUGACAAUAGUUAAUAAUAAUAUAUUGUAUAUUUCAAAAUUACUGAAAAAGUAGAUUUUAAAUGUCCUCACUACAAAAAAUGAUAAGUAUAAGAGGUGAUAGAUAUGUUACUUAGCUUGAUAUAAUCAUUAAAUGAUGAAUAUAUAUCAAAACAUCAAGUACAAUUACUAAUCAAGUAAUUUAAAAAAAAAAUUAAAGGAAAGACAGGCAGAAGGAAUUAUUAUUGCUGUGUUGAUGAAACAGAAUGAACAAAAGAUAAAUUUUGUUUCCGGAAUUUAAAAAUGAGAGUUUCUUAAUUUAAAAAAUGUGAUAAUGUAAGACAAGACUUGGAAAGGCAAAUAAAGGUAACAUUUUACAGAAAUAAUAAAAAAUGCAACGCUAUAAAAUAACUAAUAAUAUCCCAUGAAAUACACAGAAAAUAUUCCAAAAGUUCAAGCAGAACUCAAAGAAACAGAUGAGAUCAGAGAGAGAGAGAGACAGAGACAGAGAGAGAGAGAGAGAGAAAGAGAAUGUUAGAAUAGGAGCAUAACAGUGAGAAAUAAGAUCUAAUUAUUCAUGUUAUAUUUAACUGCUUGCUCAAUCUUAGAAAGUGCAAUAAAAAAUUUCAGAAAUGCUAACCUAAAUUCUGCAAAAAUCUUCCUAACUAGACUUUAAUAUUUGUUUAAAAGUGUGUUUGUUUUGAGCUUGAAGGUAUAUAGUCCAAAUGUAGUCCUCAUGCUUUAGCUGGGUUAGUUCAUUAGCCAUUUCAGGGUGAUCAUAUUAUUUAUUUGAAUUUAGUUUGGUUCAUCUAUUUCUGUUUGAAUUUUAUUUAUGGUACCUUUGCCAUAAUUAUUGAUUAUUUUUGUUCUCUCACACUCUCUCAUACGUGAAAUAUUUACAUGGUUCCAAUUAUCAGAAGCAUACCAUAAUGUAUAUUCAGAGAACUGACAUGUUACCCCCUUCAUUCUAUUAUUUUCACUAUGUUCCCAUCCACCUCUGCUUUCUGGCUUAGUAUUCCCACUUUUGAUUUUAGAGGAGCCACCAGAAUGUUUUAUUAUCUCCUCCCAUUUUUAAACACAACAUAGAGUAUAGUUUUUUUAUACUUUUAUUUUACCUAAAAAUAGCCUGCUACAUAUUAUAAUUAUAUAUACAAUUAUAAUAUAAUCAUACUCUAUUAACUUAAAAUUUUCUUUUUUUACAGUUACAUAGUACUCUGUGUCUGCAUACAUUUCUGAUUUAGUCAAUCUCCUUUGUUUUGACAUUUAGCUAAUUUUAACUAUAAUAUUUUAAAUUAUACAUUUAAUUGGACAUUUAGCUAAUUUUAAACUAUAAUAUUUUAAAUAGUUAAAAUAGCUAAUUUUAACUAUUUAAAAUAUUAUAGUUAAAAAUUAGCUAAAUGUCCAAACACGAGGGCUCACGCCUGUAAUCCCAGCACUUUGGGAGGCCAAGGCAGGUGGAUCAUGAGGUUAGGAGAUCGAGACCAUCCUGACUGACAUGGUGAAACCCUGUCUCUACUAAAAAUACAAAAAAUUAGCAGGGCGUGGUGGCACGCGUCUGUAGUCCCAGCUACUCAGGAGGCUGAGUCAGGAGAAUCAUUUGAACCCAGGAGGUGGAGGCUGCAGUGAGCCAGAGCUCACCACUGCACUCUGGCCUGGGUGACAGAGUGAGACUCUGUCUAAAAAAAAGAAAAGAAAAAAAAAAAGAAAAUUAUAAUUAUUGCAUACACACACACACACACACACACACACACACACAUAUAUCCUAUCUUCUGCUUAAAUUUGUGAUAUCCUAUCUUUUGCUUAGAUUUGUGGAAGUGAAAUUGCUUAGCCGUAAGUUACUAUGUAGAUUUUUUGGAUAAAACCAAAAAUCCUUCUUUAGGAAUGUGCAUUUCCUCAGAAGUUCAUGGGAGUGCAUUUUCCACAUAUCCUCACCAAAGAGUGCUGUAACUCCUCCAUCAGCCUGUCUGUCUCUCUCUCUCAUCUUUCUAUCUAAACUUGGCUAAAAUGACAUAAAAGAAAUAAUAUCUCAGUUUAUAUUGAUAAUUCCCUUAUAAUAAGAAAAGUUAAAUAAAUGUUCAUAUGUCUAAGAGCUUUUGACAUAUUCUUGUGAGUUGUCAGUUUACAUCUCUGCCCUUAUGUUUCUAUCAAAUUUUUAGUCUUUUCCUCCCAAUUUGUAUUAAUUAAAAAAGUCUUUUAUUGUUAAAAUAAUGUUGCAAAUAUUUUCUCCCAGUUUUUCAAUUGUAUUUUGAUGUUUCUAUAUGGUGUUUUUGCUUUGCAAAGUUUUUCUUUCUCUUUUUUUUUUUUUUUUGGAUGUAGUCAAAUGUUCCACUAAUUUUUUUCAUUACCUCUGAAAUUUUAUUCAGACUUAGAAGAAUUUUACCUACAUAGGGUUAUAUAGAAAUUCAUCUCUGUUUUAUCUCAUCCUGAAAUGUUUUGAUUUCUUUAAAAAAGUAAAUACUACAUUUAUUUUAAUUAUUAUUUUAUAUAAUGUGAGAAGGGAUUUAAUUAUGUCUUUUUCAAAAUGGCAAACUGAUUGAUUGAUUGAUCCCAGAGCUAUGCAUUACAAAUCUCCUCAUCACCUCAGUGUUUUAAGAUUCUACCUUUAUCAUAAACUAAAGUUUAUUUUUUACUUGCAUUUAUUUCUAUUAUAUAACUACUUCUUUAUCCUAUUUCACUGUAUGUCUGCAUGCACCAAUGCACAGUUUUAAUUGUAAGGUUUUUAUAUAGUAUGUUUAGUAUCGGGUAAAGCUAAUUUCUUCCCCUAUACUACAGCUUUCUUUUUAGUAUUUCCAAGUUAAUUUUGUAUAUUUACUUGUGUAUUUUUGUACAUUUUGUAUACUUUUAUAUGUUUAUAUUUCUUUUGUAUAUUUUUUAUAUUUAUUUUGUAUGUUUAUUUUUACAUGUAAUUUCAGUAUCAACUUGUCUAAUUAUGUAAAGAAACUUAUUAACAUAGAGAUUGCAGCCAAAUUAUAAAUUAACUUAUAGGGAGCUAAGCUGUAUUCUAUAAAGUUUAAGCACCUCACACAAAAGUAAAAGACUUCUUCCCAUUUUAAUAAUUUUAAUUUUAUAUUUUUCAGGCCUUUUAAAUUUUUUUCAUGUAGAUUUUACACAUUUCUUCUUACACUUAUCUCUUAGUAUUUUAUAGUUAUUGUUGAAUAUUGAUUUUAUGUGUUAUUAUGUUACCUGUGUAACUAUGUUACCUGUGUUACCUGUGUUAUGUUACCUGUGUAACUAUGUUACAUGUGUUACUUGUGUAUAUGUAUUAGAUAUGCUAUUUUAAUGUUUACUGUACUGUUGAAUUGUUUUAUUUUAAUUUAGUUUUAUUACUGAAUCUCUACGGUUUUCUAGUUACAAAACCUUAUCAUCUACAAAUAUAAAUAGCUUUCCUUUUUGUUUCUGAUUCUUAUGUCUCUAAAUGAUUCAUUUUGUCUAACUGAAUUGGCUAACCUCUACUAUUAAGUUGAACAUUAGUAAGAAGAGUGCAAUACAUUCUUUAAAAUCUUAUUGGAAAUACAAGUAGUGUUUCUGAAUUAAGUAAAAUACUGAUUCUAGGACUAAGAUUAUAUAAAAUUCCCAUAUCAUGUUAAGAAAGUAAACAUCAAUUAACAAUUUUGUACUUUUUUUCAUCUCUCAGGAAUAAAUCAUACAUUUUGUAAAGGACUUUCCAUCUUCUGUAGAGGAAAAAUAGCUGGUUUUUACUUUUAGAUGUAUGAAUAUGGUGUGCAGAAAGAGUUAACAUAUAGCAGACCUGAUUUCUAUCCUUCGAAAGGCCUGAUUAAAAGAUUAGGCUUGGCUGAUGCUGAGAACUUAGAUUUUGGAAGGAUUACCAUCACUCUGAUGGGUAAGAAUGGCUCACUGUGCCUAAACUGCUUGUACAAAAAAUGUAGUUUAUGCUAACCUUUUUCUUUCCUUCUAGGAGUCUGGAAUUUUGAUAGGUGCUAGGCAGAAGGUGCCUCCUGACUAUCCCCUAAUAGAAACCCUAGGCACUAAAUCCCUAAUGAGCUUCCCUGGUGGACAGCAUUUCAUGUAUGUUGUCCAAAGUUGUUGCUGAGGGAAUUAAGCACAGCCCAUAUGAUUCCACAGGGAAAGGACUCCUAGAAACUUUCAUACUUGUUUUUCACUGGACAUUGCCGCAUAUGCCUUUUCCCUUUACUUAUAUGCUUUGCAUCCUUUUACUGUAAUAUAUGAUAGCCAUGAAUAAGACUAUGAGUCCUCCUAGCAAAUCAUCAAACCAGAAGAUUCAUAUGGUUUUUAUAUCAAUGAAUUUCCUAAUAUUGUAUCAAUAUCAUAUUCCCAGAAUAAAUCACACUUGAUCAAAAUGUAUCA
Molecule: long non-coding RNA, 5407 nt
Filed under: Homo sapiens (human)
Lineage: Eukaryota; Metazoa; Chordata; Mammalia; Primates; Hominidae
Description: HSALNT0125266
Source: RNAcentral